CCAUGAAAAUGUUGGAGUAGAAAAGCAUGUCGGAUGGUAUCCCUAUAGAGGCUCGGAAGCUCUUGAAGUGGUUGUAGUAGUAUGGCAACAAAAAUUAUAAAUGUACAUUAAAUGUGGAAAGUAAGCACAUACAACAUUUUCAAAAUUAUAAAGACUUUUGAAACUUGUGGCAUCAAACAUGCCAUCACAUCUGUGUGGCUACAAAAGCAUAUCAUUUAAAGUAAAAUAGGAUGCCUAAAGUAAAUCGUUUCCAAAUAUAGAAAGAAAGGUGUUAUUUUUCAAAUAGACUAAAAUGAAAAUGAUAUCAGAUAAAAUGGAAUAAAGAGAGUAAGAACAAAGAAGAUUUUCAAAGUUUUGCAAACUGUCAUGGUAUCAAACUUAUGAGUCGUACAAGAAAAAAGCAAAGAUAAAGAGACAAUACGAAGGGUGACAGAUGGAUAGUUUUGAUAUUGGCUGUAGAUCCACAAGAAACUAAAUUUUUGCUAUAAAGAUAGAUGAAAACUUAUAGAGAAAGAAAGAAGGAUCUUCAAAUGGUAUUAGCAUCAAGAAAUAGUUUGUCAAUGGAUGCUUGAGAAGAAAGAAAUUCAUAUCAAAUAUAUAAUUUCAUAAAACACAUGUACAAAAGAGCAGUCACAAGUGAAGGAUCAAUAUAAGGAGAUAUUAAGGAGUUUGCCAUUACUGUAGGUGUAUACUAGGGACUUGGCUCAAAUCUAUACUUGUUACCUAAAUAGGGUGAGGUAACCAAUAAUAUGAACGAUAAGAUUCCACGGUGAAAUGCUAUUUUCAUAUGAGAUUGAGUCAACGGAAGAAACUGGUGAGAAACUCAACCAAAAGUUGGAAUUGUCGAGAAGCACUUUGAGGAGAAAGGUUCUUAGGACAACGAAAAGUAAGACAUAGGUGUAGGUUCUUUUCAUUUGGUACAAGGUUCUUAGGACCUAAGUUGCACGGACUCUUCACUUUCGUUGCCGCACCCGUCUCGGAUUCUCCAAAAAUACACUAGUUUUGGAGAAUCCAACACGCACAUGCUGACAUUUUUGAAGAGUCCGAGCAACAUAGCUUAGGACAACUAAAAGUAAGACAUAGGCGUAGGUUCUUUUCAUUGGUACAAGGUUCUUAGGACCUAAGUUGCACGGACGUCUUCGACUUUCGUUGCCGGCACCCGGUCUCGGAUUCUCCAAAAAUACACUACUUUUUGGAGAAUCCAACACGCACAUGCUGACAUUUUUUGAAGAGUCCGAGCAACAUAGCUUAGGACAACUAAAAGUAAGACAUAGGUGUAGGUUCUUUUCAUUUGGUAUACGGCUUGUAUACGGGGUUCUCCCAAUCAAGUUAUUUACUUUAUCAAAAAAAUCUAAAAGUAAUAUGCCGCAAGUUUAGCUCCCCAUAAGAAUAACAAAGGUAUAGUGAAAUUAAACAGGAUUAUGAUGCAUAUUUGUAUACAAUUCAAAUAUAUAAGCUCAGCCUUCCAAGAGAAUAGCAUGAUAGAAAAGAUGUAACACACGAAUUAGAAGAUGAUAGCUAAAACAGACAAGUGCUUACUUAGGGAGCAUGGGAUGAAAAAAUACCCAACAGUGUAAAAGGUACUGUCUACAUAACAGUUGUAAGAUCAGAAAUAUUAGCACUCAAUGCAUCCACAAGAUGAAUAUCGUACAAUGCCUAUGUUAAGAUGGAUGUUGUCACAAAAGAUUGGACAAGAUUAGAAAUGAUUACAUCAAACAAAGGGUUCUAGCACACACACAAAGGGUAAAAUGUGAGAAUGCAACAUGAGGCGGUUUGGCCGUGUCCUAUGUAAGCCUCCACAAGUACCGGCUCAUAGGUGUGACACUGAUGAACGAAGAUGGUAAAAGAUGUGGUAGGCCUAUAAUGAAAAUCACACCGAGAAAGUGUCUCACAGACCUAUAAUCUUUUCAAAAUUGCCGACUUAGAUAAGAACAUAAUAUAGUGGAUUCAAAUGAUCCGUAUAUAUAAUACCAACUAGUUGGGACAACACUUAAUUGUCAUUGUUACACUAAUGCUACGUCUGGAGAUGCCAAAGUUAGAAACUUGUGCAUCUGUUAGU
Molecule: long non-coding RNA, 2059 nt
Filed under: Solanum tuberosum (potato)
Lineage: Eukaryota; Viridiplantae; Streptophyta; Magnoliopsida; Solanales; Solanaceae
Description: long non-coding RNA (STUB_LNC007919)
Source: RNAcentral